AAUGCAAGGUGCAAUUUCACUGUUCAUGAGAGCCAUUAAUUUUUUUGGUACCGUCUGCUUGCUUUUGGGCCUAUUGCAUUCUUGGGCUGCAGUGGAGGAUCUCAUCUGAAUCUUCAUGUAGGGUUAGGAAUUAGGUUACUCAAAACCUACUUGCCUCUUCCUGUGGUUUCCGGCCGCCGCCGUCGCCACUGAACCUAUUGCUCCUUUUUUCGUCCGUCACAGAUGUAGGAGCUCACCCCUCUCACCGGCCAGCUGUUCCAGCGUUUGUGCAUCGAUGCCCGAUCCCUAAGGACAUAUUCUCUUCCUGUAGUAGCUCUCAUCAUCCAGCCAGUUUUCAUGGCUUUUAACCCAUAGCUGCGAGUGUAACAAUCCGUAGGUACCUUCAAGCUACUAAAACCAGCUGGAAGUUCUUCUUUACAGAACUCCAAUGGCAUAUUAGAACAGAAGAAAUGGAUUUGAUAGCCAAGAGGUGCAUUGGUGCUCAUGAUAGUGGGAGUGUUUUGUGGUUCUUCUUUAUUUUUUGUUUUGGUGGUUGGUUGUAGGGUGUAGUUUUGAAAAGGAUUGUUUCCAUGAAGGAAGAAACUUUGGACAUAUUAUUGGUUUUGAUUACAAAUUCGUAACAAGACAUCAUAUGGAUAUCUAAAAAUACAACAUUUCCUUGCUUGAGCUUCGUAAAAAUUGAAGGUGUAGUUCUUUAAUGUAGUUGCUUCAGACUGCUUCUUGCUUUUGUUUUGAUGCAAUUUAGACACAUUUGGAAUAAAAGGACAAAUGUCUCUGAUUUGUUCUUUACAUGGAUUUUCCGUUCUGGCUUUAAAGGCAUUGGUCUCUCUUUUAUUCCUCACGUACUCUUUUCUUUCUCUUUUUUUCUCAUUAUUGGGACGAAAUUAGCUCCGAUGCUUCAUGAUUAUCUUUUAUUUUGUCAUCAUCAGGUUCAACAGGGAGCAAAUAUUUGGUGGCUGUGAUUUACAUACGACAUGAUACUAUGAGGGGUUAUCAAAAGCUUGAAUAAAUUGGAUUUGGAAUUUGAUGUCAUUGUAUUGCCGUGCAAGCUAAGAUCUAAUACUUUAAGUUUGCUGACAAAGGUUGUGAUGUUUUUGUAAACUUUCUGAUUUUCUAAUUUUUGGGUUAGCUCUCUCUCUCUCUCAUGAUAGAAUUUCAUUGACAUCCAUUUGCUUGGUUUGAUCAGUAUGUGCUCCUUUGUUUUAUCCAUCACAUGAAGCAUAUCAAAUUGUUCGCCAAAUUUUGGGAUUUAUCAAUGACUAAAUUUCUAUUUGGUGCACUGUGGAAUUAGUUUUCAUGAAAUUUACUUGAAUAAAUUGGAUUUGGAAUUUGAUGUCAUUGUAUUGCAGUGCAAGCUAAGAUCUAAUACUUUAAGUUUGCUGACAAAGGUUGGACCUUUAAACCAUAUAACAAAUCCUGGUAGAGACCAUUUUUUUCCUUUAGCCUUAUAACCCAAGGAUUGAAAAUAAUGGGUUGAGUGAAUAUCAACAAUGUCUAAGUCACACUUCAUAAGCUAGAUAAAUAAUGCAGUGAUUUUAGGUUUCUAUGUUUUGUUACCUAUAUAAGUUUUGGAAAGCAGUCCUACUUAUGUAAUAUGUUUUUACUAUAACCUUUUACCACUUUUAUUGUGGUUGUUGCUUCAAAAGCAUUCAUGUAGUUGGAGAGACUUAAAAAGUAUAUGUUCAUCAUCUAUGUAGGAUUGUGAACCUAGAGCAUUAGUUCCAAUUGCAGUCCCAUCUCUUCCCGGAAUUUCUUGAUUAGUUCCAGCUCUUUUAGAGAAAGCUUAUUGAGAUUCACUUUAGUAAAACUGGAAAAACCUUUGGUUUUAACAAUCAAGCAUGUAAGUUCUCUGCUAUUUAGUUUUUCAAAAAACCUCGUUUCUUCUUCUUUGAUUUAUCCAGUAAUUGAGUCAUGGGGAUAGGAUAUAACGUUUCACAUAGAUAUUGAUUUUCUUAGGUUCCUUUUUUUUUAUAUAUUGAUUUUUGUUCUAAUCAAUUCCUCAUUUUAAACUCAAUGGAAACAAUCAGCAAGGCAGAGUCACAGGUGACAAGUGUUUGUGUGGUGAACAAGGGAACUGGAACUCCAUUUAUCUCAGGAUUGGAACUUAGACCACUUAGUAGUUCAAUUUAUAAUACUGACUUUGGGGAAUCUGCUUCACUUUUGCUAUAUAAAAGAUGGGACAUGGGGUCAACCAAUGGAAAUGGUAGAUAUGAAGAUGAUAUUUAUGAUAGAAUUUGGUUCCCUUACAAUUCCUCUACCUGGGAAUCGGUCAGCACUUCUUACAAGAUAAAUGUCAAUGGUGAUGGCUAUAGAGCUCCAUUUGAAGUCAUCAGAACUGCUGCUAGACCAAGAAAUGGCAGUGAUACUUUGGAAUUUUCAUGGACCCCAGAUGAACCAAGUUGGGAAUUUUAUGUCUACUUGUACUUUGCUGAAGUGGACGAUCUUCACAAAAACCAACCCAGGAAAUUCAAUAUAUCCUGGAAUGGAUCUCCUUUAGUUGAAUCAUUUGUACCACAAUACUUGCAUGCAACCACUCUUUCUAAUUCAAAACCCUUGGUGGCGAGUAAACAUAGAAUUUCUAUACACAAAACAGAAGAUUCAACCCUUCCACCUAUUCUUAAUGCAGUUGAGAUUUAUGUAGUAAGACAACGGGAUGAACUUCCAACAUUUGAACAAGAUGGCAUGCCAUCAAUUUUUCUCUUGGCUAAACUGCCUACCAAGCUAGCAAUUGAAUAAGACACACUUUGGUGCAACCUUGCCAAAGUAUUACAAAUCUUUUCAGUUUGAAUGAUUAUUCAUUUUUAUGUGAUUUCAACCAUAUUUAAACACAGUUGAUGAUGUGAUGUCCAUAAAAGAAAGUUAUAGAAUCCAAAGAAAUUGGGUAGGUGAUCCUUUUGAGCCAGAGAACUACAAGUGGGAGGGCUUAAAACGCAACUAUAGCACUUCACUUCCUGCCAUAAUCAUAUCACUGUAACCCCUAUCAUUGACCAUUGUUAAUUUGCAACAGGUUCAGUUCAAGAGAAUCAUUGCACCCUUAAAGAAUCAUACAAAGUUUCUUGGUAUGCAUUUUCUUUCAUAUAAGUGCUCUUAGGGGUUUGAUGAGUCGUUGUGUGUUUGUACUGAUCACUGACUCUCAUGUUUUAUGAAUUCAACUUAUAAAACAUUGCUUCACUUAGCUUCUACUGAAGGUCAUUUAUUCAGGGAGCAACACGAAUCUGAGCUGCAUUUGUUUAGAGACCGGCAAGUGAUCCAGCCUGUUUGAGAGAUGAGGCUCGGCAUAGGGUUUUGGGUUCGGCAUCUAAUGUUACUAUGGCUGAACUUUGUAAAUAUAUGGAGAAGUAGUUGUAAAAUCAAUCAGUCAAAUGUAAGUUAUUGGAGUAAUUAAAUUGGACAUUUUCCAGGGAUCUCAUGGUUGUUACUCUUUGGGAUGGUGCUUGAGUUAUUGCUAUGAAAAAGGUCUCAAAUCAUAAUCUUGAUUAUUUUGAUGCAACAAAAUAUUCUAUAGCACAAACUUCUUAAACUAAGGGGUUAAAGUGUGUUAAGAUAGAAAAGUGAUGUAUAUUUAACAAUUGACUAUAGUAGUUCAUUAUUGAGAUUUGAGACUAAUGCUACA
Lotus japonicus is the source of this 3613-nucleotide RNA transcript. It is a transcript of the gene named probable LRR receptor-like serine/threonine-protein kinase At4g29180, with no coding region annotated. The transcript has 4 exons. NCBI's taxonomy places the organism in Eukaryota, Viridiplantae, Streptophyta, Magnoliopsida, Fabales, Fabaceae. The record is from RefSeq and is a predicted model, not a curated record.